GAGAAGGCUACCUUGUUACUACCAGGUGGAGGUAGAAGCCCAGGUUCUUCACUGGCCUCCAUUUACCCCUGAGUGUGUGUGUGUGGUGGGGAGAUGAUUUCUGGUCCUGCUGGGCUGCUGAACAGGAGCAGAAGGUUUGACUUUCCAACUGUUCUCCACUGACACCAUGUUGGGAGCAAUUGCAAUGCAGGGUGUAGAAGUUCGGGAUCCCCUAUUGUCUGUACAUUUGCCACUAAUACCAUGAAGGAAGAAAGGAGUCCUUCAUCAGCUAGUGAGCAUGAAAGUUCCAGCUACUUCCUUUGCCUUCUCUGACACCAACGCAGUGGGGGUUUUGGACCAUUUGUCACAGCCACAGGAGGGUGGAAGUCUGAGCUUCUCAUUUAGCCUUUACUAUCACGGGUGGUGCUGAGGCCUCAGUUUUUGUUUAUUUGGUUUUGUUUAUUUGUUGUUUGCUUUUCCAUGAUGUUUGGCUGGAGUAGAAUAAUGAUUAUCUAAAAGUUUUCCUUCUAGAGGCCACACCUUUCUUUGUCCUUUGACUAGACAGAGUGGGAUCCUGCUGGGGCUUCUUUUGUCUGGGUCUUAGGUUUCUGGAUUGCUGACUAUUUCAGCUCCGUGUCUGAGAAAUCCCAGGGAACUCAUUAUUGUGUCAGUCCCAUGUCCUGAGAUCCCUAGCUAGCCUGUCCUUUUGUCCCCACCUUCCAGAGUCUUGUUUUACUUAACAUAUAAUGUCCAUGGUUUGUCGUUGCAUUUAGCAGGAUGAAUAGGAAAUGUACACCUAUUUCAUGUUUCUGGGAGUGGACUUUUCAAUGAUAUUUUAUCACCAGGAUUUUAAUUAGGGUCUGCAUCCUGAAGCAGGAAGCACUGGUGUCAGUUCCUGGAGGCCGUAAAGAAGACCACUCUAAUGAGUUUCUAAACCCAGGAGACUGCUACUCCCUUCUGGCAACACCAUGCCCUUUGGGACACACUAGGACAUUUUUCACAUGCAAGUGCAUGAUCUUAUUUUCGUGAAUAUAGUUUGUGAAGUAUAAACCAGUUUUCCCCUACUUUCUUUAAAACUGUUUACUCAUCCUCAUUAAGAACACUAAAUAUAAGGUCUCUAAUAGUCCAAGAAGGAUUGCAGCACCUAUAAGACUAGAAGAUUUGAGAAUACAUAUGGAUCUUGAUAUGUUCACCCGUAACCACAGAAAAGUAUUUUAAAAAAAAUACAACUCUUCCUGGUUGGGGGGAAGCAAAAGGAACUUGAAGAGAAGCUUGAGCAAUGCUGGCAAAUGUUUAAAAAUCAGCAUUUGGGGGAGGGGGGUCGGGGGUGGGUGGAAAGCUGCAAUUUGUAAUGUUUUCAAUUCUGUAGUAUAAAUACUCUUAUCAUGGCUGAUUUCAAGCCACCAAUGUGCCAGCACUCAUUGUGAAGUUGGGAAGAGAUGCUAACAAUUGGCUUUCACAAGUCAGGCUGUGCCAGCUCCCCUGCACCACCACAAGUGACAGCAACUGAUAAAAUUCUUUGAGAAAGAGGCUUCCUGCCCACCGCAUUCCACUGUUCAGCUUCUAGAGGAAUUGUCAGUAGAACUUCUACUAAAUUUGGAUACCUGGGGGUAAGAUAGACCAAGCCUGUUCUACUACUGGACAAUGGACAAUCAAACUUGUUUCUAGAACUUCUGGGAAUUCUAUCCUAUGACGAUCAUGGCAUGGAAAGUAAAAAUGACUGUAUGUGUCAGUGUCAGAGAGGCCUAAGGAACUUUCACCAAGUCUCCUACAGAACAGAGAAGAGAGGCUAUGAUUUCCUUAUGUUCCUGAGAAAGGCAAAGCAUUUGUCUGAAAGCGAAAGCCAGGAGAUCAAAGUAACUUCCCUGUCACAAGAGGAAACAUGAGAGCAGAAUUCAGCAUGAGUUUUGUAUAUGGCAAUCAAGUAUAUUCAUGGCUAUCUAAAUGAAUGUCCACGUAGAAGUCAGGCAGCACAAAGAACAAGAUAUAACAGCUGAACGUCCCACUGAAAACCAGCUAAGUGUUGAUCACAACCAUCAAAAAAAUUCUUGUCUUUACUUACAGUGUGACUGUAACUUUCAGAAAGUAACACAUCAGUAAAAUGCAGCUACUUUGACUCGAAGAUAACAGCCAUACUGUUCACAGUGAGGUCCACAGACCAGCAGCUUCAUCAUUGUCAUGUGAGGAUGUGUCAGAAAUGCAGAACCUCAGGCUCCACCUCAGACCUACUAUGGAAUCAGAAUCUUCGCCUUAUUAAGAUCCCCAGGGGACUGGGUGCAGUGGCUCAUACCUGUAAUCCCAGCACUUUGGGAAGCCAAGGCAAGUGGAUCACUUCAGGUCAGGAGUUCGAGAUGAGCCUGGCCAACAUGGUGAAACCCCAUCUCUACUAAAAAUACAAAAAUUACCUGGGCGUGGUGGUGCACACCUGUAAUCUCAGGUACUCAGGAGGCUGAGGCAGGAGAAUUGCUUGAAUCUAAGAAGCAGAGGUUGCAGUGAGCUGAGAUCAUGCCAUCGCACUCCAGACUACAGCCUGGGUGACAGAGUGAGAUCUUGUCUCAAAACAACAGCAACAACAAAAAGAUGACCCCCAGGCAAUUCGGCAAUUCAUAUGCACAUGCAAGUUUGAGAACAACGGGAAAUGACGAGAAAAUAAAGAACUGAGAACAAUCUCUUAUACCACCCCACAAAGAUUGUUUCUAUUUUUCUAACCUUGAUGUCUUCUGUAUUUCAGUUUGUAAGUUCCUUGAUGGCAGGAACUCGAUUCACAUCAUUCAAUGGCAUUUCCAAUACUGCGUGACAUCUAGUAAAUGAGAAAUGACUAUUUGUUGACUACAUGCUGCCCAAAUCACUAUAUCAGGUUCAGAUUUCUCUGAGCCCCAGAAUUAUUACUUUGAUUUGGGCAUUUCCUGAUUUUUUUAUAGACACCACUAAUUCAUCAUGUGCAAAUUGAUUUCUCACUUAUAUCUGCUUCAUCUCUAGUUUUCCUUCUUUGUGAGGAUGGUACCCCAUUUUCACAGUCAUGCAGUGACUACAUUCUUACAUUCCACAUACAUGCAUACAGAAUCCAUCACAUUAUUUAUACCAUCAUGGCUGCCCCCUGUAUUGUUUGAUUAUUUCUUGACUGAUUUAUCUUCAUGGUGUUCUUUCUUGCUACCUUGUCUAUUGUGUUACAUCUCAUGUAUCUAUUCUUUACACUGCCUCCAAGGUGGUUACCCCAAAUCUAAACCUGAUCAAGCCACCUUUUCUUCUCUUUUUUCUUUUUCUUUUUUUUUUUUUUUCCUAAAUAGCUUCUGGUGCCUUUCAGGAUAAAAUUUAAUCUCUGUAGAGGAUUUUCCAAGGUGCAUCAUUAUCUGCUCCUUGUCUACUUCUCUACUCUCCUAUGUUAGCUCUCUCCUGCCCAGGUGCUCUAUCACUAUAAUCCCGCCUCAUUCUAUGACUUGCUAUAAUAAGUGCAGUUUGCUGUCUCUUGCAUCCAGAACUGGCUAAUCUUUUGCAAUCCUUUCAAUACUUGCUGAACUUGAAAACCUUCACUCUCCUUUCAGGACUUGGGGCAAUGUCUUUGUUAUUAAAAAUCCUUAGAUGUUUCUGGUCUAAGGUAGGUGCCUCUUCCAUCUUUUGCCACUGAUCUUGUGUACAUCUCCUUCAUAGAACUUACCACGUUGCAUCACAACUUUGUUUACGUAUUAGAUCCAGAGACUUUAUCUUAUCUCUACAUAACAAGAGACUGGUUCUUUAGAACAAAUCCACAGACUUUUAUCUCUAUAUCUCUAUAACAUAUCUUGGUUUAGAAGUCAUUAUAGAUCUCAAUUACAAAUAUUUUGAAUUGAUGAGUGUAUAAUUUGGAGGCAGGAAUUUUCAAACAGGGGCUUAGAGGAAAGUUGAAGAUUAUAAAUACCUCUGGAGAGCAAGGAUCAUGCCUUGUUUACCAGUGAGCUCUCAGAGCUUAUCACUGUCUUUGAAAUACAAUAUGUACUCCAUAAAUAUUUGUUGAAGAAGCAAAGGGAUAGAUGGAAUAAUGGAUGAAUAGAUGUGGUCAACAAAAUAUUGCUAUAAAACUUUAUUCUCUGCUUGAUAAAGGCAUUCUCACCACCUGCUUUGUUUCUCCAGAUUUUGUCUUCUACUCCCUCCAACUGGGUCUGGUGACAGACAGACCUGUAGGCCCAGGCCUGUGCUAGUUCCGAGCUAGGUAUGACAGGGACAGGAGUUAUAUCAGCACCCUCAGUCCUAUCCUUCUGGGAUUCAGUUUUGUCGAUUACGAAGGCCUGGUGCAUCAGCAAUAAGUUCUGUGACUAUGUGUCAGCAACUUAUUAAUAACAGCCUUGGGUGAGCAAGGCACGUUUGGCAGAGUUAUUUCAUCAUCCCUCCUAUCAGUUUCAAUUUUCUCUGCUAUAUGCCAGUACUUCCC
This 4384-nucleotide long non-coding RNA is filed under the name Homo sapiens (human). RNAcentral's name for it is "HSALNT0137900". The record is from RNAcentral. Lineage: Eukaryota; Metazoa; Chordata; Mammalia; Primates; Hominidae.